This is a non-coding RNA of Hemibagrus wyckioides, 423 nucleotides long. The record is from the annotation of a RefSeq genome assembly. Lineage: Eukaryota; Metazoa; Chordata; Actinopteri; Siluriformes; Bagridae.
AUGUUACUCUUCUUUAUUUUCAUAGUUGUUAAAAACAUUGGUGCUGUUGACAGCAGCAUUGCACCAGAACAAACCAUCAUAUCUUCAAGUGAAGGCAGCAACAUCACACUGACCUGCACAUAUGAUGAUUCAGCUUACUCUCUCCACUGGUAUCGACAAAAACCUCAAUCAGAACCAGAGUUUCUGCUGCUGAUUCAGAAAUCUACAGAUUAUGUCACUAAAGCUGAACAUCUUGACCCACGACUAUCCAUCAAACUUCACAAAACGAACAAGAAAGUAGAUCUGGAGAUCUUUCCUGCUGCAGUAUCAGACUCUGCACUGUACUACUGCACCAUGGAGCCCACAGUGACACAAAACUCAAACAGACUGUACAAAAAGUCAGGCUGCAUGUUUUUCUCGACUACAGGAGAGUUUCAGUGUUGA